This 395-nucleotide ribosomal RNA is filed under the name uncultured bacterium. RNAcentral's name for it is "partial 16S ribosomal RNA". It matches the Rfam family "Bacterial small subunit ribosomal RNA", at positions 338 to 730 of the family's 1533-position model. The record is from RNAcentral.
CCUACGGGAGGCAGCAGUGAGGAAUAUUGGUCAAUGGACGCAAGUCUGAACCAGCCAUGCCGCGUGCAGGAAGACGGCUCUAUGAGUUGUAAACUGCUUUUGUACGAGGGUAAACGCAGAUACGCGUAUCUGUCUGAAAGUAUCGUACGAAUAAGGAUCGGCUAACUCCGUGCCAGCAGCCGCGGUAAUACGGAGGGUUCGAGCGUUAUCCGGAUUUAUUGGGGUUAAAGGGUGCGUAGGCGGUCGGGUAAGUUAGAGGUGAAAUCCCGAGGCUCAACUUCGGAAGUGCCUCUGAUACUGGCCGGCUAGAGAGGAGGUGCGGUAGGCGGAAUGUAUGGUGUAGCGGUGAAAUGCUUAGAGAUCAGACAGAACACCGAUUGCGAAGGCAGCUUACC